GAAAACGGCGGGGGGUCAAACCGGCGGAACUUCUAAACCUUUGACGAUUGACUCAUGUUGCCUCGGCGGGUUCGCCCGCCAGAGGAUACGUCAAAACUCCUGUUUUAACGGUGUUGUCUGAGCUACAAGCAACGAAUCAAAACUUUCAACAACGGAUCUCUUGGUUCUGGCAUCGAUGAAGAACGCAGCGAAAUGCGAUAAGUAGUGUGAAUUGCAGAAUUCAGUGAAUCAUCGAAUCUUUGAACGCACAUUGCGCCCCUUGGUAUCCCGAGGGGCAUGCCUGUUCGAGCGUCAUUUCACCACUCAAGCCUGGCUUGGUGUUGGGCGACGUCCCUUUGGGACGCGCCUCGAAACGCUCGGCGGCGUGGCACCGGCUUUAAGCGUAGCAGAAUCUUUCGCUUUAAAGGUCGGAGCCCCGUCUGCCGGAAGACCUACUCGCAAGGUUGACCUCGGAUCAGGUAGGGAUACCCGCUGAACUUAAGCAUAUCAAUAAGCGGAGGAAAAGAAACCAACAGGGAUUGCCUCAGUAACGGCGAGUGAAGCGGCAACAGCUCAAAUUUGAAAUCUGGCUCUUUCAGGGCCCGAGUUGUAAUUUGUAGAGGAUGCUUCGGCGUCGGCUCCGGUCUAAGUUCCUUGGAACAUGACGUCAUAGAGGGUGAGAAUCCCGUAUGUGAUCGGUUGCCCUUUGCCAUGUGA
RNAcentral lists this unclassified non-coding RNA (696 nucleotides) under uncultured fungus. RNAcentral's name for it is "partial contains ITS1, 5.8S rRNA and ITS2". The stretch from base 445 to 696 matches the Rfam family "Eukaryotic large subunit ribosomal RNA", at positions 1 to 249 of the family's 3401-position model. The record is from RNAcentral. Lineage: Eukaryota; Fungi.